UGGCUCCUACGGGGGGCAGCAGUGAGGAAUAUUGGUCAAUGGGCGGAAGCCUGAACCAGCCAAGUCGCGUGAGGGAAUAAGGCCCUACGGGUCGUAAACCUCUUUUGCCGGGGAGCAAGGGCGGGGACGUGUCCCGGCCCGGAGAGUACCCGGAGAAAAAGCAUCGGCUAACUCCGUGCCAGCAGCCGCGGUAAUACGGAGGACGCGAGCGUUAUCCGGAUUUAUUGGGUUUAAAGGGUGCGUAGGCGGGCUUUUAAGUCAGCGGUACACAUUCGGGGCUCAACCCCGUCCGGUC
Molecule: ribosomal RNA, 295 nt
Filed under: uncultured bacterium
Lineage: Bacteria
Description: partial 16S ribosomal RNA
Rfam family: Bacterial small subunit ribosomal RNA
Source: RNAcentral